CUUGCGCAGGAAAUCCGUGUCCGCUUCCUUGGUGGAUGAGUUACGCGCGGCCAUAAUACCCUCGUUCAUUUGCAGCAAAGAGAGAGCGAGAGAGAGGAAAUGGCGACGAUCAAGGCCAUUUGAGAGAGCAAAUGGCGGCGAUAAAGGUUAUUAUAGCUAGACAUAUCUUCGAUAGCUGUGGAAAUCGAAACAUUGAGGUGGAUGUUUGUCUAAGUGAUGGAACCCUAGCUAGGGCUGUUGUCACGAGUGGCGCCUUGACAGGUUCUAAAAUGUGAGUAUGCUGUCCGUGGAGAGAUUGUUAUCCAUACCCAGGUCUUCUUGGAGAUAUUUUCUCCCUAAUUCACAAUAUCUUGGAGGUACUUCCCAUCUGAAUUUAUGGCAUAUAAGCAAGUUGGUUUUCAUCAUGUGCUUCUAAAAAAGUUGUCUUAUCGUAUUGAUUUCAGACCAGGGUAUCGGUUGUUAUUGCUGGUGAAUGCUUGAGACUUCUGGUUUUCCUGAACACAAUGUCACAUGCAAGUGAAUGUCAGGAAGAUGUUAUGGGCGUGCUUGGUCAGUGGAAUUGAAUGGUAUUGAAUUGUAUUAGAUGGGAUUAACAUUAUUAUUGCACAAUAAUUGCAUGUCAGGAAAUAUCACGGUAUUGUAGCCACCUAAUACCAUAUUUGGGAUAAAAAUUUUGCUAGGGGAAAACACCGGAUUAAGCAAAAUCAUGUUUGGUGGACCAUUGAAUUGUAAUCAAUGGACCAAAUUCACAACGGGUGUUGUUCAA
Magnolia sinica is the source of this 766-nucleotide long non-coding RNA. RefSeq lists it as uncharacterized. The transcript has 4 exons. The record is from RefSeq and is a predicted model, not a curated record. Lineage: Eukaryota; Viridiplantae; Streptophyta; Magnoliopsida; Magnoliales; Magnoliaceae.